GCUUUUAAAAAUCAACCCAUCAGGCUGGGCACAGUGCUAUGCACUUGUAAUCCUCAGGCAGCAGACGCUGGAGAAUCACCUGAACCCAGGUACUGUAGCUUGGACCUGGAAUGUCCUCCAAAGACCCGUGGGUUGAAGGAUUGGCCCCCAGCUGGUGGCACUAUUGGGAAGUGGUGGAACCUUUUAGGAAGUACAGCCUAUUAGAAGAAAGUUAAGUCACUUGAUGCCCUUGAUGGGGAUAUCAGGAUGCCAGUCUCUUCCUCUUCCUCCUUGCUUCCUGGCUGCCCGGAGGUGAACAGACAUCCUCCUUCAUGUGCUUCUGCCAUGAUGGGCUGUGCUACCACAGCAACAGGUCCAAGUGACUGCGGACUGAAAUGUGAGCAAAUAUAAACCUUUCCUCCUUAAAAGUUGAUUAUCUGGCUGGGGCUGGGGCUCAGCGGUAGAGCACUUGCCUGGCACGUGGGAGGCCUUGGGUUUGAUCCUCAGCACCACAUAAAAAUAAAUAAAUAAACAAAUAAAAUAAAAAUAUUUCUUUAAAAAGUUGAUUAUCUCAGAUAUUUUGUUGCAGAGACAGGAAGCUAAUUAAUACACUAGGAGUUCAAAACCAGCCUGGGUAACAUAGCAGGACCCCAUCUCAAACAAAACAAACAAACAAACAAAAACA
RNAcentral lists this long non-coding RNA (664 nucleotides) under Marmota monax (woodchuck). The record is from RNAcentral. Lineage: Eukaryota; Metazoa; Chordata; Mammalia; Rodentia; Sciuridae.